This 253-nucleotide ribosomal RNA is filed under the name uncultured bacterium. RNAcentral's name for it is "partial 16S ribosomal RNA". It matches the Rfam family "Bacterial small subunit ribosomal RNA", at positions 524 to 776 of the family's 1533-position model. The record is from RNAcentral.
UACGGAGGGGGCUAGCGUUGUUCGGAAUUACUGGGCGUAAAGCGCGCGUAGGCGGCUUCGCAAGUCAGAGGUGAAAGCCCGGGGCUCAACCCCGGAAUUGCCUUUGAGACUGCGUCGCUAGAAUCCGGGAGAGGUGAGUGGAAUUCCGAGUGUAGAGGUGAAAUUCGUAGAUAUUCGGAAGAACACCAGUGGCGAAGGCGUCUCACUGGACCGGCAUUGACGCUGAGGUGCGAAAGCGUGGGGAGCAAACAGG